UGGGGAAUUUGGACAUGGGCGAAAGCCUGAUCCAGCCAUGCCGCGUGAGUGAUGAAGGCCUUAGGGUUGUAAAGCUCUUUCGCCAGGGAAGAUAAUGACGGUACCUGGAAAAGAAGCCUCGGCUAACUCCGUG
RNAcentral lists this ribosomal RNA (133 nucleotides) under uncultured bacterium. RNAcentral describes it as "partial 16S ribosomal RNA". It matches the Rfam family "Bacterial small subunit ribosomal RNA", at positions 356 to 507 of the family's 1533-position model. The record is from RNAcentral.